RNAcentral lists this ribosomal RNA (253 nucleotides) under uncultured bacterium. RNAcentral describes it as "partial 16S ribosomal RNA". It matches the Rfam family "Bacterial small subunit ribosomal RNA", at positions 524 to 776 of the family's 1533-position model. The record is from RNAcentral.
UACGUAGGGUGCAAGCGUUAAUCGGAAUUACUGGGCGUAAAGCGUGCGCAGGCGGUUUUGCAAGUCUGUCGUGAAAUCCCCGGGCUUAACCUGGGAAUUGCGAUGGAGACUGCAAGGCUGGAGUUUGGCAGAGGGGGGUAGAAUUCCACGUGUAGCAGUGAAAUGCGUAGAGAUGUGGAGGAACACCGAUGGCGAAGGCAGCCCCCUGGGUCAAAACUGACGCUCAUGCACGAAAGCGUGGGGAGCAAACAGG